This 118-nucleotide ribosomal RNA is filed under the name Pteropus alecto (black flying fox). Lineage: Eukaryota; Metazoa; Chordata; Mammalia; Chiroptera; Pteropodidae. The record is from RNAcentral.
GGCUAUGGCCAUGCUACCCUGAACAAGCUGAUACCGUCUGAUCUCGGAAGGUAAGCAGGGUCAGGCCUGGUUAGUACUUGGAUGUGAGACCGCCUAGAAAGACCAGAUGCUGUAGGCG